GGUGAGGGGCUGGGGGUCAGGAAGUAUAUAAAGGUUCCCUGUGAUGCUACUCUCUGUGUCAAGUUAUAAAAGACCCGAGUGAUGUGGGGUCUCUCUCAGGCUUUGCUGGCCUCUCCCCUCAGGCUGGGCAAGGGCUAGGGUUGGGGAACAGAGAGGAAUUCCCAUAGAGGGAGCCCCUGAGCUCAGGUGGUCCCACUGCCUGUGCUGUGGUAGAAGUCCUGGACUAAAGCUGAAAUCCAGCCCAGAUUCUAACUCACUGUGGGGCCUUGGACUUGACUUCUAAGCCUCAGUUUCCUCAACCUGCCAAGUGGCAGGUCAGGGCUGGGUGAUUUCUAACCAACGCUCUAUUUGGACUGAACACUGCCAGGUGCAUGGGAUGUGGGAGACCUCACGCAGGCAUGAUCUCAUCCAAGGCCAAAGCCAGGAUUCCCAGGUCCCCUGCUGCUCUGAUGCUCUUGGGAACGGGGAGCGGGGAGGGAGAAGGGGGGGUACUGUACGAGACGCAUGACUGAAAUGGGCAUCCCUGCCGGCUCAGAAAGAGGCACAUGUAAGCCCGUCUCCCAAUCUCCCACGUCAAGGGUGCUUCACGUGUGAGAACGCCGCCUGGCUUUAAAGGUAUCUUGGGGUGAGACGGGGAGAGGUAAAACCAGCAAAGGCCACAUUUAGGAAACAGAAGAAUGAGCUGUGAGGCCGAAGCGGACAGAACUCAGCCGAGCGCAGAGCUCAGACCGAGUGGGGCGGGAGCGCGUCAGAGAAGAAUGCACACGAGGCAGAUGCUCUUCUGCAAGAGAUGGGAGGGCUCGGGGUGCACCGUGGCCACUUCCCCCAGGCCUGCUGAGAGCUGUCAUCCUGUCACGGAGGCCGGGAGUUCCAGGAAAGAGUAACUUGCUCUUUCCCAAAACACCAUCCUGAACGUAAAACGAUCCUUCUUAAAAUUUCUGCCCAUUUCCCAAACCAAACCAAGGCACAAGCCUUCUCCAGUGACCAAAGAGAGCCAAGACCCCCAUCUUGGGUUGAACAGGGACCAGCUGUGUGACUGAGGAUAAGUGCCUGUACCUCUCUGAGCCUUGUUUAUAAAAUAGGUGUCACAGCCUCAAACGGCCAGAGAGUAGACAGGAAGUGCCCAGGUCUGGAACACAAACCCUCCUUCCUUCCCAUACUUUCACAAUGCCUCUAGAGUGGCCCCCAAGCCCUCGAACCAAAGGUCAAGCCCCCGUCAUUAUAUUCUGAGCCUCAAAAUACCAGAGAUGAGUACAAAAGGAAGUGGCUUAGAAGUUCUCAGAAGAAGGGGGAUGGGGAAAAUAAAUAAGCCAGCAGAGUGGAAGCUUCCGGCUCUGCAGCUCUAAAACCUUUGCACAACUUUUCUCUUCUGCCCUGGAAUCUUCCAGAUGGCUCACUGAACCUAACUCAGCAACCAGACUCCCACAGUGUCCUGACGAUAAGGAGAGAGAACAGUUUGGGGGAGGAGGGCCGAGUUGGGCAGAGUGUGGAGCAGGGCCCAGCAGGUUUGGGGCCAUCACAGAGUAGGUGUGACGCUCUGCAGCUCCCUCCAACUUCUCUGCAAUGAGACAGACUACAAAGGAAGGCAAGUAAAGACCCAAUAACAACUUUUUCAAUGCCAUGGGCAAAAAUGUUUCAGUUUCACACCCCUCUGGUGCUCAGGGAGCUAAUGGUCACUCAUCCACUGAUGGUGGGAGGGGAAACUGGUGGACACUUUCUGGAGUAGAAACGGACAACGUACAUCAAAACGUGACAUACGUGCACUCUGACCCAGCCCCGCACACGUACUGCCAGAAGUUCACCAAGGUACGGAAACAGAGAUGCUCAUGACGACAAAGUGUCCAGCAAAAGAGGGCUGGUUAAAUAAAUUAGGGGAGGACCAGCGAUCGGGUUCCAGAGAGAACCCAGAGCCCAGCUGUGGGACUCGACCCAAUUCCACUCCACUUUCAGUGACACCAUAUUGGUAACUUGAAAUCAACUGCGGUGAGAGUGUUUACACCACAGGAAUUGACAGAUGCCAUGUAUCAAUACUAGAGCUUCCCUCACCACCACCCAAGAGCUGGUUGUUAAAGAUUUACCAGCACACCACUGGAGGUUCUGCCACGUGACGUGACGGGAACGCUAUGCAGGUAUUCAGAUUAGACCUCAGACCUGCCCUCCAGCCAACAAGGCAAAGUAACCAGUAGGCUCUUUGGUAUGUACUUUUACAAACACAUAAAUAGUUACAAACCAAAUAGAUAAAUAGUUUAAAAACA
Molecule: long non-coding RNA, 2255 nt
Organism: Orcinus orca (killer whale)
Lineage: Eukaryota; Metazoa; Chordata; Mammalia; Artiodactyla; Delphinidae
Exons: 2
Source: RefSeq, a predicted model, not a curated record